UACGUAGGGGGCAAGCGUUGUCCGGAUUUAUUGGGCGUAAAGAGCGUGUAGGCGGCCAUACAGGUCAGCUGUGAAAACUCGAGGCUCAACCUCGAGACGUCGGUUGAAACCAUCUGGCUAGAGUCCGGAAGAGGAGAAUGGAAUUCCCGGUGUAGCGGUGAAAUGCGCAGAUAUCGGGAAGAACACCCGUGGCGAAGGCGGUUCUCUGGGACGGUACUGACGCUGAGACGCGAAAGCGUGGGGAGCGAACAGG
Molecule: ribosomal RNA, 253 nt
Filed under: uncultured bacterium
Lineage: Bacteria
Description: partial 16S ribosomal RNA
Rfam family: Bacterial small subunit ribosomal RNA
Source: RNAcentral